Molecule: ribosomal RNA, 460 nt
Filed under: uncultured bacterium
Lineage: Bacteria
Description: partial 16S ribosomal RNA
Rfam family: Bacterial small subunit ribosomal RNA
Source: RNAcentral
CCUACGGGAGGCAGCAGUGAGGAAUAUUGGUCAAUGGGCGGAAGCCUGAACCAGCCACGUCGCGUGCAGGAUGACGGCCCUACGGGUUGUAACCUGCUUUUAUACGGGAAUAACGCGCCUUACGUGUAGGGCUUUGCAUGUACCGUAUGUAUAAGGACCGGCUAAUUCCGUGCCAGCAGCCGCGGUAAUACGGAAGGUCCGGGCGUUAUCCGGAUUUAUUGGGUGUAAAGGGAGCGUAGGCCGCAUGUCAAGCGUGCUGUGAAAUGUCCGGGCUCAACCCGGGCCUUGCAGCGCGAACUGGCGUGCUUGAGUCCGCGGAAAGCAGGCGGAAUUCGUCGUGUAGCGGUGAAAUGCUUAGAUAUGACGAAGAACCCCGAUUGCGAAGGCAGCUUGCUGCAGCGGAACUGACGCUGAUGCGCGAAAGCGCGGGUAUCGAACAGGAUUAGAUACCCCUGUAGUC